This 253-nucleotide ribosomal RNA is filed under the name uncultured bacterium. RNAcentral describes it as "partial 16S ribosomal RNA". It matches the Rfam family "Bacterial small subunit ribosomal RNA", at positions 524 to 777 of the family's 1533-position model. The record is from RNAcentral.
UACGGAGGGAGCUAGCGUUGUUCGGAAUUACUGGGCGUAAAGCGCGCGUAGGCGGCUUUGUAAGUUAGAGGUGAAAGCCCGGGGCUCAACCCCGGAAUUGCCUUUAAGACUGCAUCGCUUGAAUCCGGGAGAGGUGAGUGGAAUUCCGAGUGUAGAGGUGAAAUUCGUAGAUAUUCGCAAGAACACCAGUGGCGAAGGCGGCUCACUGGCCCGAUACUGACGCUGAGGCGAAGACGUGGGGGAGCAAACAGGG